GGGUUUGUGGCCUAAUGGAUAGGGUGUGUCCCUCCGGAGGAUGAGAUUGCGGGUUCGAGUCCCGCCAGACCCU
Molecule: transfer RNA, 73 nt
Organism: Tritrichomonas foetus
Lineage: Eukaryota; Parabasalia; Tritrichomonadida; Tritrichomonadidae
Rfam family: tRNA
About the family: Transfer RNA (tRNA) molecules are approximately 80 nucleotides in length.
Source: Rfam